GAUGAACGCUGGCGGCGUGCCUAAUACAUGCAAGUCGAACGAAACUUCUUUAUCACCGAGUGCUUGCACUCUCCGAUAAAGAGUUGAGUGGCGAACGGGUGAGUAACACGUGGGCAACCUGCCCAAAAGAGGGGGAUAACACUUGGAAACAGGUGCUAAUACCGCAUAACCAUAGUUACCGCAUGGUAACUAUGUAAAAGGUGGCUAUACUACCGCUUUUGGAUGGGCCCGCGGCGCAUUAGCUAGUUGGUAGGGUAAAGGCUUACCAAGGCAAUGAUGCGUAGCCGAAUUGAGAGGUUGAUCGGCCACAUUGGGACUGAGACACGGCCCAAACUCCUACGGGAGGCAGCAGUAGGGAAUCUUCCACAAUGGGCGAAAGCCUGAUGGAGCAACGCCGCGUGGGUGAAGAAGGUCUUCGGAUCGUAAAACCCUGUUGUUAGAGAAGAAAGUGCGUGAGAGUAACUGUUCACGUUUCGACGGUAUCUAACCAGAAAGCCACGGCUAACUACGUG
Molecule: ribosomal RNA, 512 nt
Filed under: uncultured bacterium
Lineage: Bacteria
Description: partial 16S ribosomal RNA
Rfam family: Bacterial small subunit ribosomal RNA
Source: RNAcentral